CCUACGGGAGGCAGCAGUCGAGAAUUAUUCACAAUGGGGGAAACCCUGAUGGUGCGACGCCGCGUGGGGGAAUGAAGGUCUUCGGAUUGUAAACCCCUGUCAUGUGGGAGCAAAUUAAAAAGAUAGUACCACAAGAGGAAGAGACGGCUAACUCUGUGCCAGCAGCCGCGGUAAUACAGAGGUCUCAAGCGUUGUUCGGAAUCACUGGGCGUAAAGCGUGCGUAGGCUGUUUCGUAAGUCGUGUGUGAAAGGCGCGGGCUCAACCCGCGGACGGCACAUGAUACUGCGAGACUAGAGUAAGGGAGGGGGAACCGGAAUUCUCGGUGUAGCAGUGAAAUGCGUAGAUAUCGAGAGGAACACUCGUGGCGAAGGCGGGUUCCUGGACAUUAACUGACGCUGAGGCACGAAGGCCAGGGGAGCGAAAGGGAUUAGAUACCCUGGUAGUC
This 446-nucleotide ribosomal RNA is filed under the name uncultured bacterium. Its description in RNAcentral is "partial 16S ribosomal RNA". It matches the Rfam family "Bacterial small subunit ribosomal RNA", at positions 338 to 795 of the family's 1533-position model. The record is from RNAcentral.